GGUUGACCUCGGAUCAGGUAGGAAUACGCGCUGAACUUAAGCAUAUCAAUAAGCGGAGG
RNAcentral lists this ribosomal RNA (59 nucleotides) under Cladophialophora bantiana. RNAcentral describes it as "partial 28S ribosomal RNA". The record is from RNAcentral. Lineage: Eukaryota; Fungi; Ascomycota; Eurotiomycetes; Chaetothyriales; Herpotrichiellaceae.